RNAcentral lists this ribosomal RNA (253 nucleotides) under uncultured bacterium. RNAcentral's name for it is "partial 16S ribosomal RNA". It matches the Rfam family "Bacterial small subunit ribosomal RNA", at positions 524 to 776 of the family's 1533-position model. The record is from RNAcentral.
UACGGAGGGGGCAAGCGUUAUUCGGAAUCAUUGGGCGUAAAGGGCGCGUAGGCGGCUUCAUAAGUCUUGGGUGAAAGCCCUCGGCUCAACCGGAGAACUGCCUCGGAUACUGGGUGCCUCGAGGGUGGUAGGGGUAUGCGGAACUAUCGGUGGAGCGGUGAAAUGCGUUGAUAUCGAUAGGAACUCCGGUGGCGAAGGCGGCAUACUGGACCACCUCUGACGCUGAGGCGCGAAAGCCAGGGGAGCAAACGGG